Molecule: ribosomal RNA, 494 nt
Filed under: uncultured bacterium
Lineage: Bacteria
Description: bacterial SSU rRNA
Rfam family: Bacterial small subunit ribosomal RNA
Source: RNAcentral
GACGAACGCUGGCGGCGUGCCUAAUACAUGCAAGUCGAGCGCAGGAAAUCAUCCGAACCCUUCGGGGGGACGUUGAUGGAAUGAGCGGCGGACGGGUGAGUAACACGUAAAGAACCUGCCCUCAGGUCUGGGAUAACCACGAGAAAUCGGGGCUAAUACCGGAUGGGUCAUCGGACCGCAUGGUCCGAGGAUGAAAGGCGCUUCGGCGUCGCCUGGGGAUGGCUUUGCGGUGCAUUAGCUAGUUGGUGGGGUAAUGGCCCACCAAGGCGACGAUGCAUAGCCGACCUGAGAGGGUGAUCGGCCACACUGGGACUGAGACACGGCCCAGACUCCUACGGGAGGCAGCAGUAGGGAAUCUUCCACAAUGGACGAAAGUCUGAUGGAGCAACGCCGCGUGAACGAUGAAGGCCUUCGGGUCGUAAAGUUCUGUUGUAAGGGAAGAACAAGUGCCGCAGGCAAUGGCGGCACCUUGACGGUACCUUGCGAGAAAGCCA